GUGUGACAAGGUGUGUUUAUGUGUGCUUUUAUGUGCCAGUGUGCGUAUCUGUGUGUGUGUGUAUAUCUGACACACAGAUACACACACACAUUGGCACAUAAUGGCACACAGAUGCACACACCUUGACAC
This is a non-coding RNA of Pelobates cultripes (western spadefoot toad), 129 nucleotides long. NCBI's taxonomy places the organism in Eukaryota, Metazoa, Chordata, Amphibia, Anura, Pelobatidae. The record is from the annotation of a GenBank genome assembly.